RNAcentral lists this long non-coding RNA (773 nucleotides) under Marmota monax (woodchuck). The record is from RNAcentral. Lineage: Eukaryota; Metazoa; Chordata; Mammalia; Rodentia; Sciuridae.
GCCUCAGAAAGGACCAAGCCCUCCUGGGGGUGAUCCCAGUGUGACCCUGACUCUAAGGGCCUCUGAUCGCAGUGACAGGAGCAGGUGGGCUCAGGAGUCACGUGGUCUGAGCUCGAAUCCCAGUCCACUGUCUGCAUCAGCUGGAGACCUCUGAUGAGCUCAUUCAACUCCCCAAGCCUCAGUUUUCUCAUCUGCACAAUGGAUCCGCUCAGAGUUUGCAGCUCCUGGGGUUACCAGGGAGUUAAAGGAGACAACCCCCACCUUAGUGCUUAGCUCUCAUUCCCCGGGGGGGGGGGCAACCAUCCCCCUGCAGGUCACAGCCUGGUCACCUUUGCCCCUCCCCCACUCUGCAGAGAGGCCAGGCUCAGGUGCCCCGUCCCCCUCCCUAGCAGAUCCCCGUUCUCUUUCCUCCUUGGUGCCGUCUGAUCAUUUCACUUCUUUCUGUAUUUAGCUGCCUUGGGUCUGCCCUGCUCUGGGUGGCGAGCUCCGUCCGGCAUGGGCCUGUCCCUCCCACUGUACCCCAUCACCCAGGGCAGAGCUGAGCCCAGAAAAGUGCUCACAGUUUUUUGUUGAGUGAAGAAAUGGUCAGCAGCUGACAUUAUUUUUAUCACCAUCACCGUCAAGGACCAUGAUGGUCACGGUCACAAUACACUCUCACAAUACGUGAAUGAUCAAAUACAGUGAAAAUGCCCAACAUCUCUGGCCACUAGAGAAAUGCAAAUUACAAUGACGCAAAUUAAAAUGAUGCUGACUCACUCCAGUCAGAAUGGCAA